CACGUAGUUAGCCGGGGCUUCUUAGUCAGGUACCGUCAUUUUCUUUCCUGCUGAUAGAGCUUUACAUACCGAAAUACUUCUUCACUCACGCGGCGUCGCUGCAUCAGGGUUUCCCCCAUUGUGCAAUAUUCCCCACUGCUGCCUCCCGUAGGAGUUUGGGCCGUGUCUCAGUCCCAAUGUGGCCGUUUCACCCUCUCAGGCCGGCUACUGAUCGUCGCCUUGGUGGGCCUCUACCCCGCAACAAGCUAAUCAGACGCGGGUCCAUCGUAUACCACCGGAGUUUUUCACACCGGACCAUGCGAUCCUGUGCGCUUAUGCGGUUUUAGCACCUAUUUCUAAGUGUUACUCCCCUGUAUACGGCAGGUUACCCACGCGUUACUCACCCGUCCGCACUAACAGAUAAACUCACUAGGUUUCAGUUACCUGUCCGUUACGACGUUGCAUGUGUUAAGCUACGCCGACCAGCGUUUCAUCCUGACGCCAAGGACUACAAAACCGUCUUCUGUACGAACUGACGAAAGGCAACGAACC
This 531-nucleotide ribosomal RNA is filed under the name uncultured Lachnospiraceae bacterium. RNAcentral's name for it is "partial 16S ribosomal RNA". The record is from RNAcentral. Lineage: Bacteria; Bacillati; Bacillota; Clostridia; Lachnospirales; Lachnospiraceae.